CGCUGGCGGCAGGCCUAACACAUGCAAGUCGAGCGGAAACGAGUUAACUGACCCUUCGGGUGACGUUAACGGCGUCGAGCGGCGGACGGGUGAGUAAUGCCUGGGAAAUUGCCCUGAUGUGGGGGAUAACCAUUGGAAACGAUGGCUAAUACCGCAUAAUGCCUUCGGGCCAAAGAGGGGGACCUUCGGGCCUCUCGCGUCAGGAUAUGCCCAGGUGGGAUUAGCUAGUUGGUGAGGUAAUGGCUCACCAAGGCGACGAUCCCUAGCUGGUCUGAGAGGAUGAUCAGCCACACUGGAACUGAGACACGGUCCAGACUCCUACGGGAGGCAGCAGUGGGGAAUAUUGCACAAUGGGCGCAAGCCUGAUGCAGCCAUGCCGCGUGUGUGAAGAAGGCCUUCGGGUUGUAAAGCACUUUCAGCAGUGAGGAAGGCGGGUACGUUAAUAGCGUAUUCGUUUGACGUUAGCUGCAGAAGAAGCACCGGCUAACUCCGUGCCAGCAGCCGCGGUAAUACGGAGGGUGCGAGCGUUAAUCGGAAUUACUGGGCGUAAAGCGCAUGCAGGUGGUUCGUUAAGUCAGAUGUGAAAGCCCGGGGCUCAACCUCGGAACUGCAU
This 613-nucleotide ribosomal RNA is filed under the name uncultured bacterium. RNAcentral's name for it is "bacterial SSU rRNA". It matches the Rfam family "Bacterial small subunit ribosomal RNA", at positions 34 to 626 of the family's 1533-position model. The record is from RNAcentral.